GACGAACGCUGGCGGCGUGCUUAACACAUGCAAGUCGAACGGAAAGGCCCUGCUUGUGUGGUGUUCUCGAGUGGCGAAGGGGUGAGUAACACGUGAGUAAUCUGCCCUUGACUUUGGUAUAACUUCAGGAAACUGUGUCUUAUACCGUAUAGGCGCUCCUGCUUCUUGUUGUUGGUUGGAAUUUUUCGUCGGGUGGGGAUGGACUCGCGGCUUAUCUGCUUGUUGGUGGGUUAUUGGCUUACAAAGGCUUUGACGGGUAGCCGGCCUGAGGGGGUGACCGGCAAAAUUGGGACUGGGAUACGGCCAAGAGUCCUAGGGGAGGAGGAAGGGGGAAAUAUUGAAAAAGGGGCGGAACCCUGAGGAAGGAAGGCGGAGUGGGGGAUGAGGGCCUUCGGGUGGAAACCCGUUUUCGCAUGGGACGAAGCGUUAGUGACGGUAAUGGGUAAAGAAGCACCGGCUAACUACGUG
This 468-nucleotide ribosomal RNA is filed under the name uncultured bacterium. RNAcentral describes it as "partial 16S ribosomal RNA". It matches the Rfam family "Bacterial small subunit ribosomal RNA", at positions 28 to 507 of the family's 1533-position model. The record is from RNAcentral.